CGCGGCGGGGGAGGCCUAACGGCGUCUUGCCUGCUCCAAGACAACGGACCGCCUCUGGCACGACGUCUACGGCGGGCGCCGAGACCCAAACUUCCUCGAGAUAGUGUGCGCGCUUUCCCGGCCCUGUGGUGUAGUUAAGCGGAUUUGAGGCUCCAGGCAGGUUUCCGUGCCUCAGAGAAGCAGAACUGGCCCCGGCGCAGGAGCGGGUGCUUGACUUCUGAGUGACCUUCCGCACUUCCAGACUCGCCUCCUUAAGCCGUUCCUCCCCGCCCACCCGCUUCCGUUCCUCUCCAUACACUGUCGGGAAAUUUAGCCUUAGGGACUCCCCAGGCGGUUCACUGGUUAGGACUCCGCGCUUCCACUACUGGUGACCUUGGUUCCAUCCCUGGUGGGCCAACUAAGAUCCCGCAAGCCGCGUGGUGCGGUCUGAAAAAAAGAAAGAGAGAAAUGUAGACUUAAAACUCGAAAUUCCUCGUCUGGCUCUGACUCCUCCGGCCCAGCCCACCUCAUGCCGUCCUCGCGCCUUCUGCUUGCUCUCCAACCAGGCAGGGCUCAGCGCCUUUGGAGGGCGCCCCCUUUCUCUGUCUGGAACUCUCGUUCUCCAGAUCUCUACCUGGCCCGUCCUUUGUCACUUCAGCCUCAGCUCAAAAGUGAACUAAAGCGGUCCUUAACCUUUCUUCUCUCGCUCUGCUGUGAGUACCUUGAGGACAGAGUUCCCUUUGAACCCACGCGAGCACAGAGUAGGCAUUCGGCUGGAUCUCAGCUGACUGGAGCAAGAGAGACUCUCCUGCUUGUCUUGAAGAAGCCACCUGCUAUGAUACCACCUUUAGGGCCAGCGGUCUCACGUCCUAUAGGUGCAAGGAGCUGAAAUCUGCCAACAACCUGAAUGAGCUUGGAAGCAGAUCUUUCCCCAGUAAAACUUCUGAUGAGGCCUUAGCCCCAGGAAGUAUCUGGAUUGCAGCCUGGUUGUGACCCUAAGCAGAAAACCGAGUGUCCAAGUUAUGAGAGAGCCACAUGUCUAGGAACUGAGGGCAGCCUUUAAGAGUUGAGAGCCAGCAAGAAAACGAUAACUCCAGUCAUCCAACCACAAGGAACCAAUUCUGCUAAGGAACCUGAAUGAGCCUGGAAGGGGACCCCAAACCUCAGAUGAGAUCACAUCCCUGCAGACACCUUGAUUCCAGGUAAGCAAAGAACUCAGCCCAGACUCCUGACCCACAGAAAACACUGUGAGACAAUAAGUUUGUAUUGUUUUAAACAUCUGAGAUGGUGAUAAUUUAUUACAGCAACAUUAAAUUAAUGCCCUGACAUCACAGUAGGACCUUUGAAACAAAGACUGAAAUGACUAUUUUUCAGUGCUUUUAACUGGGCCUUCAUAUACUUUGUUUCCCAGACUUUUUUUUCUCCUGCAUUUGUAAGUAAAGUUUUGUGUGUGUGUAUGUGUUUUUACUUUUUAAAUCAAUUUUAUUGAGGUAUGAUUUACAUAUAAUAAAAUAUACCCAUUUUAGAUGAAUUUUGACAAGUAUAUGCAUCCAUGUAACCACUUCCAUAAUGAAGCUACAGAACAUUUCCGUCACCCCAAAAAGUUUUUUCAUGCCCCUUUGCAGUCAACUUCAGGUUCCAGAAACCAUUUGUUUGCUUUCUGUCACUGCAGAUUAUUUUUCAUUAUUUUUGUUGUGGUACAAUAUAUGUAUAUAUAUAACAUAAAAAGUACCAUAUUGUAAAUUGAUUUUGUGUGUUCUAGGAUUUUAUAUAAAUGGUGUAAUAAAUUAUAUACUAUAGGGCUUCCCUGGUGGCGCAGUGGUUAAGAAUCCGCCUGCCAGUGCAGGGGGCACAGGUUCGAGCCCUGGUCCCGGAAGAUCCCACAUGCCGCGGAGCAACUAAGCCCGUGCACCACAACUACUGAGCCUGCGCUCUAGAGCCCUCAAGCCACAACUAUUGAAGCCUGCGUGCCUAGAGCCUGUGGUCUGCAACAGGAGAAACCACCGCAAUGAGAAGCCUGCACACCGCAAUGAAGAGUAGCCCCCGCUCACUGCAACUAGAGAAAGCCCACACACAGCAACGAAGACCCAAU
Long non-coding RNA from Lagenorhynchus albirostris (white-beaked dolphin), 2071 nucleotides. RefSeq lists it as uncharacterized. The record is from RefSeq and is a predicted model, not a curated record. The transcript has 3 exons. Lineage: Eukaryota; Metazoa; Chordata; Mammalia; Artiodactyla; Delphinidae.